RNAcentral lists this ribosomal RNA (253 nucleotides) under uncultured bacterium. RNAcentral's name for it is "partial 16S ribosomal RNA". It matches the Rfam family "Bacterial small subunit ribosomal RNA", at positions 524 to 776 of the family's 1533-position model. The record is from RNAcentral.
UACAGAGGUCUCGAGCGUUGUUCGGAUUCAUUGGGCGUAAAGGGUGCGUAGGUGGCGCUGUAAGUCGGGUGUGAAAUCCUGGGGCUUAACCCCGGAACUGCAUUCGAUACUGCAGUGCUUGAGGACUGGAGAGGAGACUGGAAUUCAUGGUGUAGCAGUGAAAUGCGUAGAUAUCAUGAGGAAGACCAGUGGCGAAGGCGGGUCUCUGGACAGUUCCUGACACUGAGGCACGAAGGCCAGGGGAGCAAACGGG